Long non-coding RNA from Hypanus sabinus (Atlantic stingray), 935 nucleotides. RefSeq lists it as uncharacterized. The transcript is spliced from 3 exons. Lineage: Eukaryota; Metazoa; Chordata; Chondrichthyes; Myliobatiformes; Dasyatidae. The record is from RefSeq and is a predicted model, not a curated record.
AUCUGCUCACUGUUGCUCAGAAGGGGUGCCUCCACCAUUUGGUGGUAGAUCUCAACAGAGCCUUGGUUCACAUAUGGACCAAGGAGCUGAACACCAGAGGUGAGGGGGAGACUGACGGGCCCUGACCAAAUGUGGCAUCAGGAAGCUGUGGGGAAACCGAAGGCAGUUGGGUCCAAAAGGGCGAUGCUGUCCAUUCGCUGGAGUCUUUUCCUGAUUCUCAGUGAGGAAGAAUGUGGAAGCCAUAGAAAGGGUGCAGAGGAGAUUUACAAGGAUGUUGUCUGGAUUGGGGAGCAUGCCUUAUGAGAAUAGGUUGAGUGAACUCGGCCUUUUCUCCUCGGAGCGACGGAGGAUGAGAGGUGACCUGAUAGAGGUGGUGAUGAGAGGGCGUACAGGGGCAAGAUAUGCCAACCAGUGGAAUGAUGCUGCAGCAACAACCUGGCACUAAACGUCAGUGAGAUGAAAGAGCUGAUUGCGGACUUCAGGAAGGGUAAGACGAAGGAACACAUACCAAUCUUCAUAGAGGGAUCAGUAGUGGAGAGAGUGAGCAGCUCCUGGGUGUCAAGAUCUCUGAGGGUCUAACCUGGUCCCAACACAUUGAUGUAAGCAUAAGGAAGGUAAGACAGCGGCUAUACUUUAUUAGGAGUUUGAAACAAUUUGGUAUGUUAACAAAUACACUCAAAAACUUAUAACAUUGUACUAUGGAGACCAUUCUGACAGGCUGCAUUACUGUCUGGUAUGGAGGGGCUACUGCACAGGAUCAAAAGAAGCUGCAGAAGGUUAUAAAUCUAUUCAGCUCCAUCUUAGACACUAGCCUACAAAGUACCCAGGAUAUCUUCAGGGAGCGGUGUCUCAGAAAGGCAGCGUCCAUUAUUAAAGACUUCCAGCACCCAGGACAUGCCCUUUUCUCACUGUUACCAUCAGGUAGGAGGUACAGA